ACACGACUACAUUAGAUACCCGGGUAGUCCUAGCCGUAAACGAUACUCGCUAGGUGUCGGCCACGGUGCGACCGUUGCCGGUGCCGUAGGGAAGCCGUGAAGCGAGCCACCUGGGAAGUACGGCCGCAAGGCUGAAACUUAAAGGAAUUGGCGGGGGAGCACCACAACGGGUGGAGCUUGCGGUUUAAUUGGAUUCAACGCCGGAAAUCUUACCGGGACCGACAGCAACAUGAAGGCCAGGCUGAAGACUUUGCCGGAUUAGCUG
This 265-nucleotide ribosomal RNA is filed under the name uncultured archaeon. RNAcentral's name for it is "partial 16S ribosomal RNA". It matches the Rfam family "Archaeal small subunit ribosomal RNA", at positions 717 to 982 of the family's 1478-position model. The record is from RNAcentral.